Molecule: long non-coding RNA, 1623 nt
Organism: Mus musculus (house mouse)
Lineage: Eukaryota; Metazoa; Chordata; Mammalia; Rodentia; Muridae
Product: predicted gene, 33187
Exons: 3
Source: RefSeq, a predicted model, not a curated record
GAUCUUGGGAACACUGGUGAUUUGUUAGUGGCAUCUUCAGGUAGAUGCGGUGACUUUACCCAGGCCGGGGAUGCUCUGAGACACUCCGAGAGCCUCCAUGUGAUAAAGUCACGCCCACAGAAUGGGAGAUGCCUUGUGACUCUUUUACCACUCCUGGUAUCUGCAACAGUUUGUUCCUGAAAGUUGAACUCCUCUGUCUUCAACUCCACAGCCUGGAAAGGCGGCUAUGCUAAAUUUAACAUGACCUAUCUGUGCUUUCCAUUUUACUGUGAGGGUGUCUUCGGAGCACUUUUGACUGCGAAAUGUCCGAGCAAGAAGAAGCUGGAUUCAGAUGUUGGAACUCAAGGAAAUUAGUGCUGCUAGGUCUUACAGUAUGAUGAACUGCCCCGGCAGGUGAUCUGAGGUGUGCAGGGAUCUACCCAGAAGACAGGAGCGGGGUGUGGCCCGGAGAUGGAGCUGUUGAGGAAGGGCGGAGCAUGGGAGAGGCAGAGCAUAGGAGGCUCUGGAAAAGAGAGAGGUUCCAGAGGCUCUGGCAAGGCAGCAGAUGGGCAAAGGCAGGCAUUGAGUGCAGGACGCAGGAGAGGUUGACUGAACUGCAAAACCUGGCCAGCCAACAGAAGGCAGCACCAACAGGUGACUAGCAGAUAGAGGCUGGCCAAGGCUGCCCGGCUCAGUGCCUCUUUCCGGUGGUGCACACCCUGCAGGGUGUCCCAGGCCAUUUUAGUUGCUGAUCCAAAAAAGGCUGGGCAAUGGGAACAAGGCAGCGGAUACAUCUUUCACACCUGCUGAACGCUCACCAACUCGUCAACACUGGGCAGUGGGCAGAUUCCUAAGAGGAGACAGGGCCUCCUGAAGUCCAGGGUAUGCAGGAUUUCUAAGUCUCUGCUCUUUUGCCCUAGGGCAAAAGAGUGCUUCCACCUCCUGUACCCAGGUAGACUCACUACCUGGGUGUAGAGAAGCUAUUUCGGGAGCUGAUUGUCCCCAUUGGCUGUCCUAGAGCGGAAUGGGGUCCUUCCAAAGAGGAACAAGGACAGCCUCCACCACAAGUUCAUUCAGUGUGUGCCAGGAUGGCAGGCUACAGCCAGAACCCAGCACGGGGUCACAGCACUGACAGAAUCAACGGCAUGCCAGGAACCCAGGCUUGGAGACACUGAAGGACACCAGCCUGUGACCUGGCUGCAGAGGUGGUGGACUGUGAACAUGAGGAAUUGCUUAGCUUGGCUGUCUCUGGAAGAUGACAAGAGGUGGCUAGGCACAGGAGCAGAGAGAGAGGCACAGCCGAGAACUUCUCCUGGUGUUCCUGGUCGUCUUGGUUGUUCCCGAUGACUGGUGCUGAUUCAGCUGAGGUCUGGCUGUUCCUGCUAGGUCCUGCCACAACCGCUGCUAUCCCGACACAAUUGAACUGGGUUGCUGGUGUAUCCGUGAAGUGUUUGUAAGUGGAGCAAGUUGCCACUGCUGAUCUGUGAACUGAACUGCUGGUUUCCUGACAAUGUGGAUGGGAUUUUCUCUAAAGAAUCAUUUCUAAACAGGUUCACUUCCCCCAUAUCCUUUCUUUUCCACUACCUCUGGUGGGUGGCUGCUGGGCUAGAAGGGAGGUUAAAGUGUUAAGAACCAUCAUUAAAA